AUUUUUUUUUUUUCAGAAGUAAUAAACAAAAAACAAAGGUGGAAAUCUAGCUCCCUGUGAGGGCGUUGAUUAAUAGACUUUGCAAGGUGGGCUGGCUGUAGCCUGAGCCCAUGGGUCAGGGUCUGGAUGGAAAGGAAAGAAAAGGGAGGAGGGGGAAAAGGGAGGGAAGGAGGUAAUGGAUUGCUUAAUCAAAUUUUAUUCCUAUAUGAAAUUAAGGGCAAAAAAGAAAAUAAGGAUGAAACGAAUUCCCUGUAAUAUUUGAUGCAGACAGUACAGCACAUAAGACAGCUCCCCCUCACCAGACAGUUCUCAAACUUCCUGAUGCUGGCUCGUUAAGAAGGUAAGAAACAACUAUGACAGAACCAAAACUUCCCCCUGUUGAACACAAAUUGCUGUAUGACUUUCUUGUAUAUGAGUGCGCCUGAGAAUCUGUAUAUGCUGAGGAAUUACUAGUUCGUGCAAUCAAAUCCAUGGCAAAUGGAAAGCCAGAUUAUGAGAACCAGAAGUAACAAGAUUCCGAGAACAACCAACUUAAUCUUCAUGUUCUGAUACCACAUUUUCCGUCGGAUCUGUGUCCCCUGUUUCUUGUAUGCUUGGGCCUGAAUUUCAUAACAAAGAUAUCAAUCAAGCACUGGGCACCAGAAAAUAAGUCAGUGAAGAAUUUAUUCUGCAAGGAUAUCCUAUUAACCUACCUGAUCGCGUAAAUUUUCAGUUUUGUCAGCUAGAGUCGUUAUGGUCUCACCCCUAUCAAUAACCUGAAAGAUGAAAAUGGCUUCAACUAAGCAUGAAAUGUAACACUCAUUUUGCUUGAAUUGUCAGUCACAUGAUUCUAGUGAUUCAAAAAGAGAAAGAUUAAAUAAAGGAUUUAAACUAAAGAAAGAUAAAAUAAAGGAUUUAAAUUAACAAACAAUUGCAUGAUCAAAACAGAAUUUAAGACAAAGUGUUUCACAUUUUAUUAGAUGCAUAUACUGGUAAGAGAUGGUAUCAUUUGAAAGCUCAUUCAGUUUUGGUCCUUAACUUGUAGACAACAUACACCAAGAUCCAAACAAUAUCUGCCAAUACUAGGGCCAUUCCCAACAAAAUUCUUAAAUGAACUACCAAAAUUACUCCACGUUCAACCCUGCUUCCCCACCCCUCUUAAUACACAUUUUUCAUGACCAAUUUCAGCAUUCAAGUUACCAUUCCAAAUUCCAAUAAUACAGAAGAUCAAAGCAUAUAUUUUAGGAGAAUGACCCAAAAGAACAAAAAACUUGGAUCUUGAUUUGACACAUUUAUAAAAAUUAUUCCCCGCCAGAUUUUGCUUUUAUGGCUCAAAAAAUUUCGCCUUCAGUUUCCACUCCUUACUGCACAUUUUUAAUGUUUGCAAGGAGUCAUCUGAAAUAUGCACUAAAAAAGCAAGCUAUUAGCUAAACUGACCAUGUGUCUUUUCCGGUAUGAUUCACUUACCUUGUCAAUAUUCCCUAACAUUAUACUUUUAACUUCUGAAACUUGAGCCUUCACUUUUAAUAGUUUCUCAAUUUCUUCAGCAUGGUCAAUAAUAUAUUUCAUGUGCUCUUUCAUAAUUGGCCUGAAAAAGGAAAUCAUACUACCUUACAUUCUGGUCCUAAAAUUAUAAAAAAUAAUUCAUAUUUUCUUUUUCCUCUUUUUUCUCCUCUUUUGUUUUUUGUUUGUCAGUGGUAUAAUACUUGAUAGACUUCCAUAGAUGCACAUACCCAAACUCCUUGUUGAGACUUUUGGCAAUAGCUGUGUCCGCUUUACCACCCCCAUAUCUUUUCUUGAAGUCUGCUUUCAUGCGUUCCAAAAAAGCAAUAGAAAUCUGUUUGCUAACAGAUUCUUUUGCGACAACACAAUAUGCUGCAAAUAGCAGAAAGCAUAAUAUCAAGAGGUAGAAGCAUUAAAACCUUCCGCACUAUGAUUUGACAGCAAUUCCUUUAUGCAAAAACCAGAUAAAUAAAAGGUUCAUUAAUAUCUGUAGAGUAUAUUACUCAUGGUUGCAGCUACAACUAUUGUGACUCGACUACUAAAAUCACUUGCAUUGAAUAGCAGAAUGACUAAAGAUAUAUAUAAUGGUGUGUAUAAAUUCACCAAGCACAUUACUCAUCACUUCUCUCAAAUCACAACUAAACACACAUAAUUUGUAACAUAUAGCUAAAACCUAGAACCAUUCAUCCCCUCAAGGAAAUCAUUUUGUAUGAGGGUCAAUUUAGAUAUGUGUGCAUUUGAAAUAAAGGUGAAUUUAAUUCAUUUUUCAUGGGAAAAAUCAUAAACACCAAAUUUAAUGCGGAAUUCAAACGCCCCUUAAUUUAUUUCUUAUCUAU
This 2318-nucleotide unclassified non-coding RNA is filed under the name Hevea brasiliensis (rubber tree). The record is from RNAcentral. Lineage: Eukaryota; Viridiplantae; Streptophyta; Magnoliopsida; Malpighiales; Euphorbiaceae.